Long non-coding RNA from Bos taurus (domestic cattle), 915 nucleotides. The record is from Ensembl. Lineage: Eukaryota; Metazoa; Chordata; Mammalia; Artiodactyla; Bovidae.
AUUGAUCCAGAGAAAUAAAUCCCUGAAGUGCUGAUGGCUCUGGGGGAGGCGGUGGGGAAGGGGAUUUGAGAAGUGGAGACAAGAUUCCACUCACAAGCCUUACGGUCAGAUUUUUCUGGGUUAGACUUCUUCCUCUGUCACUUGUUAGCAGUAUAACUCUGGGCAGGUGGCUUCUUUCCAGCCUCUCUUUCUCUACCUGAUAAAUGGGAAUAACAAUCAGGCUGUCUUCAGAGUGCGAGAAUUUAGGGAGAUAACAGCCCCAAGCCACGAGCUGAGUCUAGCUCAAAAAACAAGGUCAUGGUGAAGAUACGGUCGUUUUGAAACCCCAGUGAAGUUCAGGGGCCAGAGCAGAGUGGUAAUCACUCCGGUUUUGGCUCAUCUUCCUUCUCUGCGGCCUUCAACUUCAAGGCCAGGGGGCUGUCCCGGCCUCUCUGACUUCCUCUCAUGCAAAUCGCCCCAGUCGGGUGGGGGUGGAGGGCUGGCUCACCCAGAGGAGGGAAGUGAUGAACUCCGACCUCCCCAGACCUACUUUCUACCUCCAAGGCGAGCCUGGGAGACAGGUCCCCCCUGAACCCCGUCACCGCAGCCUCUGCAAGGACCUGCCUUGUUGUUUGAUGCUCAGUCAUGUCCGACUCUCUGUAACCCCAUGGACUGUAGCCACCAGGUUCCUCUGUCAGUGGGAUUCUCCAGACAAGAACACUGGAGUGGGUUGCCAUUUCCUCCUCCAGGGGAUCUUCCCAGUCCAGGGAUCAAACCUGGUCUCCUGCGUUGCAGGCGGCUUCUUUAUCGUCUGAGUCACCAGUGAAGACUUGAAUUAGCCACCCUUCUGAGUUCCCCCGACCCCGAUAAUUAUGAACUCCUGAGUGGACAGUCACAGACUCUGGGUAAUUAAAUUAUUAAAAUAAUAAGCCUGAA